AGAAACAGAGACGCCCUACUGAGAGAUGUCUCAGACAAGCUGAUAUAAAAAUAAUUAGGACAACAUCAAUAUCUCGGAAAAUAGUACACGUACAACACAAGAUCGUGUUCGAAAGAAUGACGUUGCACGAUAUGUUCACCGUUUUAUUUUUGUGUGUGGCUUUCCGUGCCGACUACUCAAUCUCCCAUCCGCACGUGAGACUCCUUUGCCUUCUCUUUUACACCUUUUCACUUAUUUAAAUCUUUUCCUUUUCCAUUACUUCUUUGAUUAGAUUGAUUAGAUAUUUCGUUCUUGUUUGUUUCCAUUCUAUUAAUAGUUUUGUCGUAAAUGUGGUGUGAUUUUCAUUUUUUUUUUUUUUCCACUUUUAUAUUAAUAAAACCCAAUAUACAAAAGGCAUAGAACCAAAACAAACUAAACCAAAAAGCCCACACUGGGCAGAGAAAUUAAAGCCACACGAGGCCCGUGAAGCCCAGCCAAAAGAAGCCCUAGAAAAUCGGCGACCGACUCGAACAUGACACCACACGUUGAACAGAUAGCAUGGUAGGGACACGCGCCCACUAACGAAGCCGCCACCUAACUUCAGCCAGAAAGUCAUCGACGGAGCUCCAACCGGCUGUUCCACCGGAAACACACCGGAAACAGGAACCCGAAGUUAGAGAUCUAUCGAAGACUAUGGAUAAUUGCUUUCCACCACCGACAUGGUCUACGCCGGAGGAUCAAAGAGAUACACCGGAAGCCAAGAGGCUGAGGAAGCCCGCUAAAGACAGUAGAACACAGUCGAUAACCAUACAACUUGGCUCUUCGCUUUAUAGACGAUUCAUUUGCAUGCGUUCCAAAACAGGAAACAGAGAUGAAUCGAAGAAGCUUGAAGGAAAGAUCAGACGAAAGCCAGAAUAAACCAGAGAGAAGCCGCACGACGCCACCGGAGAAGACACCGUCAUCAACGUCGCCGGAACCAGAAGCCAAUGAAUCAUUUAGAAGAAAGUGAUUCAUUGGAGCCAAAAGCCGACGGUUUCGUCAGAGAAGAACGACCACCGUCGGAACCAAAAGCCGGCCAGUCGAUGUUGAAGAAACCAUCGCUGCCGGAACCGACUCCUAUAGGAGCCAACACGCCGGAAACCACCGGCGAUCUAUAUCCUCUCUCUCUGAAAGAUUUUUUAGAGAGAAGAGAGAGAGUUUUUUAUGAUUGUGUUUUUUCCAAUGUGUGAUUUUCAUUCACUCCUCGUUAGCCUUUUAUGAAAAUAUUGUAAUACUGUGAAAUUAUAUCUAAAACUCGUGACACCGGUUUAUAGGUUAGAUGUAUUUUAUCUUAUCCAGCGACAUAAACAGGAUAUCUUGACAUGAUGAGAUAAGAAAAUGUACUGGUCCUUGUAAAUUUGGACCGCAUGUCGGCCAAAAAAUCGUUUUGACUGAUAUAUUAAGCUCAACUUUUUUUGUACCCGCAAAUUUAAAACGCUCAAAUAUUUGUUAUAACGCCAUCAAAACAGUGAUCAUUAUUCAAAAUUUAACUUAUAUGUGAUAUUUCCACUCGACUCAAUUAAAAUAGAAAUAAGCCAAGCUAAAAAAACAAAUGGUGACAUCAGAAGAAGGAAAAUCAAAAUGAUGAAUAAAGGGUGGUCAUGAUCCUAUGAGUCCCAUUAAUAUUUAUAUAUAUACACAGUGGUCAUGCACUCUUGAUAUUUGUUGCUUCUACAGUUUACUAUUUAUUUUUCACAUACAGCAAGAGUAAAAUUUUAAACGUGUCAAAAUAAAUCGUUGAGGUAGCACUCAGCAGAUCUAAUAAGUGGAUUGCCUCGAAUCAUAUUAACCCUGGGUUACUCUCGAGUACUGACAAGUAGAUAACGCCAAAGAAAAUGAUGUAAAAGGCCAAUAAUGGACUGUAAUAAGGGCGUGGUUCAGUACUCAUCGUGAAGGCGUAUCUAAUAUCUUCUUUCCCCAGCUACACGACUAAUUUACUCAAGUGCACCGUAUUUUUCUUGUACACGUAAACUAUUUAUAAGUCUACAUAGUUGUACAAUUGUAUAGUAUUUUAUACACUGUGCGUAGGUAAAUACGUAUGGCUCGUGUGGUGGUCCCCGCAGAAACCAAAGGUAGAGCCGUGUGGAGGGACCUCCCCCAAGUAAAACGAUAACCACACGGUAUCAGAUCCCUUGUCACUUUCUUGAAUUUAGUGGCGCCCUUUAACUCUAAAGGAACCUCCCCUAAAUAGAUACAGAACUAAUAUUCAUUUGUUUUUAAUAAAAAGUUGAUUUAAUCUUUUUGAUUGUGUUUCAAAAAAAAAAAAAAAAUCUUUUUGAUUAUUGACUAGGCUUCGAAACGCGUAAUGACUUCUUCUUCUAGUACAGCCAAACAAGUAUGGUGUCUAUGUAUUUGCUGCGUAUAAGAUCGUAAAGCCCGUCUUUGGGUCAAGUCGAUGGAACCUAUACUUUAAGUGAAUAUUUUCUUUAAACUUUUCUUGACAGAAUUUCAGAUUUGAAGAUUCAAAUUAUCAUGUUUAUAAUAUUUCCAUUUUAACGAAGCGGCCAUUCUUUCUUUAGCCUUUGAAAUUUCGGAACCAAUACAAACCAUGACCCAUGAUGUCAUUAUACUUUUACCAAAAAAAUGAUGUCAUUAUACUGAAAAAUAGCUAAAGCUUUUAAUAGUGAUAUUAAACUUAGUUGUUGGCUGCUGAUCCAUAAGAAAUUGUUGGCAUAUGAUUUGCUUAAAGAAAAACCAGUGAAUAAUAUACGAAUUCGUUCAUUUUAAUUCAUCUGUACUUAACACUAUUAUAUAGAAAGGUAAGGGUGGACGAGACUGAUGCUGGUUAAAUAACAUAAUGAUAUAUAAUUUUUUUGCAAUUUUUUAAAUAGAAGUUUUAGUUUUUAUCCAUUUCUUAUACUUUUUUUUCGUCAACACAAUUCUAUUGAUUUAUACAAGGAGUUCAUGAUCUUUUUAUUUUUGAACAGAGGAGGAGUUCAUGAUCUAAACUCUGGUUUUUGACUAUAUACAAGUUGAAUGAAUGUAUGUAUCAAAAUCAGAUAAGCUACAUCCACUUUUUAAAACAACUAGUUGAUGUAAUUUAUAGCCACCUUUUAAUACUAGUUUUUGAGCUAGCUGUAUUUUAUACUAAGUUCCUUGCAUUUGAAUUUAGAAUGGGCUUUUGCAUUAAAACUAUACUCGAUUUGUAUUCAUAAACUUCAAAAAAAGUUUUAAUAGCUAUGACUUUUGAGUCUACGACAGCUCGAACAUAGAAAAUUAAAAAACUAUGAAAUGUACCUAUCCAAUUUAAUUUAUUUUUCAAGAUUCAUAUAUGUAUAUAUUUACAUAUUUAAUUGUAUUACAUUGUCUAUACUCAUUAAAACUUUACGCAAAUGCGCAUGGACGAGCAUGUCUCUCCGCAUGGCGUAAGAUUUAAGUUUAAAACUUCUAUAAAAUAACAGACUAAUAACAAAAUUAUCGGCUAAGCAUCACUUAAAUUUAAUACACGUUAUGGAGACUACCACGUCACAUUUGAGCACCUUCCAGGCUGUCAAAGACUCCUAUCACCCAUUCAAAUCAUUCCACGUGGCACUUUCGGACAGUGACACCUAUGCUACAACAGCUGUCUCACUCGUCUACAUUGGUAUAAAUACCUCUUGUAUCACACUUCAUUCUAUAAACCUCAAACAAAACCUCUGUUCUAACUCUUACAAUAACCAACUUCUCAAAUGGCUUAUAAUUACCGUUUUGCCUUUUUCCUCACCGUCCUCACCGCCCUCGCCGGGAUCUCCUCCGCCGCGUUGGUCAAGGAGCAGCCGCUUGUUCUGAAAUACCACAACGGCGCACUCUUGAAAGGAAACAUCAACGUCAAUCUCGUUUGGUAUGGGAAGUUCACACCCACCCAACGGUCAGUGAUCGUCGACUUCAUCCGCUCGCUCAACUCCAAAGAAGCCACAACCUCCGCCGCUCCCUCCGUCGCGUCGUGGUGGAAGACGACGGAGAAAUACAAAGGCGGAGCUUCGACUCUCGUCGUCGGGAAACAGCUCCUCCUCGAGAACUACCCCCUCGGAAAAUCUCUCAAGAAUCCCAACCUCCGUGCUUUAUCCACCAAACUUAACGGCGGUCUCCGUUCUAUAACCGUCGUUUUAACGGCGAAAGACGUUUCCGUCGAGGGCUUCUGUAUGAAUCGAUGCGGGUCCCACGGAUCGUCCGUCUCGACUUCGCGCCGCGCGGCUAACGGCGAGGCUUACGUCUGGGUCGGAAACGCCGAGACGAUGUGCCCGGGGUACUGCGCGUGGCCAUUUCACCAGCCCAUUUACGGCCCACAAGGGCCGCCGUUAGUUUCCCCUAACGGUGACGUUGGAGUCGACGGGAUGAUUAUAAACCUGGCUACGCUGCUAGCUAACACCGUCACGAAUCCGUUUAAGAACGGGUAUUACCAGGGCCCACCAACUGCUCCACUUGAAGCUGUCUCCGCUUGUACCGGCAUGUUCGGGUCUGGUUCUUACCCGGGUUACGCGGGUCUAGUGCUGGUUGACAAAACUACCGGGUCUAGCUACAACGCUCGUGGACUCGCCGGGAGGAAAUAUCUCUUGCCGGCGAUGUGGGAUCCACAGACCUCGACUUGCAAGACUCUGGUUUGAUCCAAGGGAUGUGAGUAUGACACGUGUCAUGUUCUGGAAGGAAUGAGGAGAUCUAGAUGACAUCUAUAGUCAAAACAAGUUGUAACUCGCGCUUGUAUAAUAUAUAUGCUUUCGGGUUUGGACUGUGGAUAAGAGUCUUUGCUUUUGUCGUUUUGUUAUGACGUGUAAAUUAUGUUUCUUGAAUGUGAAGAUAUAUGAAUAGUAUAAAAUAAAAUGAUUGUGUUUCUGUUGACAAAAAAAAUGAUUUUGUUUCUACUGCUUUUUAUAAAAGUUAAUGCACUUAUUAAAGAUAAUGAACUAUAAUGAUUGAGGCUUAUAAUACAAAUUUUAUACAUUUAAAGGAAUCUAGCUUUUAUAUUAGUGGGUAGUAUAAGAUAAUCAUAGUUUUAUUGUUUAUAUUAAAUUCGAUGAUAAAAGUAGAUAACACUACAAAGAAAGAUGAGUAUAAAAUAUAAGUUGCUCUCGGUGAUGUUGGGGCCAAAGAGACCAAAUCGAUUGCUUAAUAAAAUACUCGUUUCUUCCUACUUUUUUUUUCAUGUCAGCCAUAGUGUGCUUAAAAUACUUCCUCGUAAUUGUGUUCCCUCAUUAUUUGUAUGACUAUGAUUAAAACUAAGUUAACAAAGAUAAGGUCUGUAAUAACACCAGAAUUCAUUGUGUCAGAGGUUCUGUGGAACAAAAUUAUUUAUAUUAUAUGUAGUUUUAGGAUACGGAGAAAUGAGAAGUUUUUAAAAAUGAUAUAAGAACAUAAUUAUAUGAUGACAAAAAAAAAGAACAUAAUUAUAUAUGUUAUAAAGGAAAAAGAAAUUAUCAGAAAAAAAGAGGGAAGGAAAUGAUCAGAAAACGAGGAAAACAUUGUUUAGGAUGCUAAACCUCAAACACGAUGGUCAGUGGGUUGAGGAGUAAAACCUCUUAUAUCGGCUUAAACAGUUUCCGAUUAGGUUAGUAAUUUAGUAAUUUGGUAUUUCCUGACCAUGGUCAGUGGGUUCGGUGAAGUUUUUUUUUUAGAUAAAAGGGUUUGGUGAAGUCCUCCAUUACUUCCGUUCUGUAUGCCAAAAGACAACUUUGUAACUUUUAAUAUUAAAGCAUCUCCAAUAGCAGUCUUAAAAUAAAAUUUUAUGUAUUCCAAAAGAAACUUCAAAACCUCAAAUUAUAAGGUUUGUACAGUGAAACCUUAUAUUUGAGAUUUUACUGUACAAAACCUUAUAUUUAAAGUUCCAUAUUUUUUUAGUCCCUGUACUUAUAUGUUUUUUAAAAAGUUUUUAUAAUUUUCUUGUUUAUCAUUUUAGUCCAUACAGUUUUAUAUAUUUAUAUAUUUAUAUAUGUUUUUAUAAAUUUAACUUUUUAAAAAUAAAUAUAUAAAUGUUUAAAUAAAAAACAAAGCAUAAUCUUUUAAUAAUAUUAUGCAAGACAAUAUUACAUCAACAAGUUGAUACAAAAUACAACAAGGUAAAAAUGCAUAAAAUAAAAUUACAUAAGCAAAAUAAAUAUUACAAUUAUACUAAUAAUCCGGUAAACUUGAUCCCGAACCUCCAAUAUCACUAAAAUAUUGGCCAUAAAAGGUUGGUGCAUUCGAAGGUUGUUGUUGUUCUUGAGUUCUUUUCUUUAUAAUUCUUUCUUGCUCAGAUCAGAUAAACUCACGAGUAGUAUGAUCACUGAUAGAUUCUAGGUUUGUUAACAACAUUUUAUUCUCUUCAUGCAUUUCCUUAAGGGCUAGUUUUUUUGUUUGGUGUUGCAUACGUAAAUGAACAAUUUCAUAAUUCUUAUCCCUAGCUGAUGCACUUUCUUUUAAGAAAUCAAGGACUUGUUCAUUUGAUGAAACCAAAGUGUCAACUGAAGAAUUUUUACCUUCCGAGAUUUUCCUUUUGAGUUUUGCUUUCUUUGAUCUAAUUGGUCGUUGUGAUGAAUUUGACCCACCAUCAUCACUACUUAAGUUGAUUGAAAAUGAAAACAAUCCCGGAGAUUGUGAUGUUGGAGAACCGACGACGUUGCUCUGAAGAGUGUUUGGAAUACCAAAAUUGACGUUGUCGGUAAACUUUGGGAUAUCCUUCAGUUUUGGAUCUUGUACCAAUAAUUUCUUGCAUUUUUCCAUCUGCAUGCAAGAUAAAAUCAUUAAAAAUAAAUAAAUAUCAUAUAUAAAUGAAGCUAAAAAUAAAUAUACAUACAAUGUCAAAUUCGGAUGCACCACUUGGAUUCAAAUUCUCCACUUGACUUAUGCAGCUCUUCAAAUUUCUAACAGCAUAAAGAAUAGUAUUCAUUCUACCUUGUAAUGAUUGGUUGCUUCUAAUUUCCCAACACUCAUCUUUUUUUCAUUGUAACUCUUUUUGAUUUUUCCCACAGCUUUCCUAGAGAUUGAUUAUUACUACCAAUCUUGUGAUAUUUCUAGAUACACUCGACAUAAUAACUCAUGAUAUAAUGACAACAUGCAUUAUAAUGCAUAACAUGAUAAUUGAAGACGAGCGGGACAUCAACGCACCGAUUAGAGAUGCAAGAGCGGUGCCAGUGCUACAAGUUGAAACAGCAACUAACGAAAAUACUCGGUUUCAAUAAUUUUUGGCUCGUAAUCUACAAAUAAAAAAAAAUAAAAAAGCUCAUUUAUCGCUUCAAAAUGCACUAAUUGAUCUUAUAUGAGAGCAUUAUGGGAAUAAUAAUAAUGAAUAAUGUAUUUUUAAGUCUUUUAUUUAUAUGUAAUAUAUGCUAUUAGAAUGUAAUAGUUUAUUAAUAGCUAUUGUUUAUAGUAUUUUUGAUGUAUGAUUUUAGCUGUUAUAAAAGUUUUAUGCUUUUAUUUGAUUCUUGUCUAAAGUAAGGACUAUAAUGUAAAAAUAUAAACAAAUUGAGGUUUUUUUUAAGGUUUACCAUUGGAGAAGGUCACCCCAAACCUCAAAUAUAAGGUUUAGCAAACCUCAAAUAUAAGGUUGUUCUUGCAGAUGUUCUAAUAAUAUAUAUUUUUUGGAUCAAGAACACAUUCAUCAAAUAUUAACAAGAUUUUUUUUGGGCAAUUCUCCUUAAUAGCCCCUUUUAACUUUGUAUCUCUAAAUCAGACUCUCAAACUGAAAAUAACCUAAAUAACCUUCAUCAAGUGUCAAAAGUCUACAAUGCCCUUCUUUUAAUUGUAAUUAGAUGAAACAAUUAAUAAAUUGCAACCACGAAAAAUAAACGACGACGAAGGACUCUUGAAGUCAUCUUCGACGACGAGCUCCGGCGACAAAGGAAACAAUGAUUCUCAUUGUCGACGAAGCAAGCUGUGUGAAUCUGUAUGUUUCAAUAGUUUUACGAAGAAAAUCUUAAUUUUAUUUAGGGUUUUCAAAUUGAGAUUUGAAUUUUUGUGUUCUUCUUCUUCCGAUGAUACGUUUGAACUUGUUUUGUUGUUUGAAUAGAACAUGGAUAGCAGAAUCGGAGUUACAAAUAAUGAAUUUCAGGAAACUUCGUUUACAUAUAACUUUGGCUUAAAGAGGAAGAUGAUCUCGUGACUUUACUUUUUGGUAAGCAAUUUUUGAAUCUUUGAUAUUCCUAUUUAUUCUUUGAUAAAAGAACCCUGUGUAAAGAGAGCUUUGAUUGUUGGAGUUGGUCUCUUUGUUGUGUUUCCCUUUUUCACCUGAAUGGUAAUGUAACAGUGUCAAAGUGCGAUUGCAGGUCUCUGAUGCUUUGUAGAACUCAAUUUUGAAACCGCCUCCUUCAUACGUACAGCCAGCCUUCUCUAGAAGACCGUAAGAUAUUAUGUUCCUGCUAAUAUUCGGCAUGUGUCUCACAUCAGUUAAAAUCACUUCAACACCAUCCACAUUAGUAACUCGAAUCUUUCCAAUUCCUUUAACUUCGCUCUGUGUGUUGUUCGCCAUAAAAACUUUCCACCUUCUAGUUCCUUGAAGUCAAAGAGAACAUUCCUUUGAGGAGUGAUAUGAAACGAGCAGCCAUAGUCUAGAACCCACUCCUACUUAGUGUCCUGAACACUUACAGUCAGUACAAGCGGCUGCUUUGGUUAAGAAGCUAUAUUCAUUAAGCUUGAAGACUCAUUCUUCCUUCCCUGAUUAUUCCAAUUCUGUGGGCAUUCUCUCUUCCAAUGACCAUCCUUUCCGCAAAUAAAACACCCUGUUUUGUUGGUAUUUCGGUUUGAUCUUGGUCUAGACUUUGAUCUUCCAUCCCGUGACUUUGAUCUGCUUUUUCCAUACUUUCCAUUUCCUUUAUUUCCCUUCUCCUUCUGUCUACGUUGAGAUUCCACAUACAAGCCUUUUAAGUUCGAUCUAGACUUUCCAAAGAGACCCCUUUGUUUUGUGUUGUUCAAAAUCUUUAAAAUUCAAAUUGUAGUGGGAUUCUAAGAUUUUCAGUUAUAAUAUUACUAGAUACUAGUUGGUAUAAAUAAAUUACACAUUUAUAUUUUAUCGCAUAAAAACAUGAAAACACCUAUGUAUAUAUAAAAUUAUAUACCAAAAUAUAUAGAGAUUUAUCUCAUUUUUUUUAAACAUGUAUAAUGUAAAAUAUUGUUUUUGGAUAACACAAUGUAAACUAGUUUUAUAAAAUGAUAAUUAUCAAAUCAAUAAAAUUCAUUCUUAAUUUGUGGUUAUGUAUAUAUUAAAAACCGAAUUAUUCAUUAUAUUUAAUAAAGACCUUAUAGCACAAUAUAAAUUAUUUUUUGAUAAUGAUAAUUAUCAAAUUAAUGAAAUUCAUUUUUAAUUUGUGGUUAAUCAUAUAUUAACAAAUCAAAUUAUUCAUUAAGAGUAAUAAAAAUUUUAGCCGCUCUAACUUUUAAUGUUAGAACUAAUAAUCAUUUUGCAAAUAAUAAUAUAGAAUAAAAUUAUUAAAUAGAAGGUUUAAUUAUUAUAAAUAGCUAUAAACUUGUAUCAUGGUAAAAUAAAAAUUGUCUUCUUAUUUGAUUGCAGGUUAUCCAAGUAGGGAAGGGCUUGGAUUUGAUCCAUCCUAACACAAACUUAAUCUGCUAAUUCUGUAAUAAUAAUAAUACAACAAGAUUUGUUCUACUAAUCUUUUUACAGAGUGAAAUUUUUUAUUCUUUUGAAUCAAACAAAAGACACCAGAAGAAUUAGCCUUAUCUCCAAAGACUCUAAUUACUCAGUUCCGUUCGUUCACCAUUUGUUUUGACAAUAUACAGAAGUAAGAUCAUCUCUCUGGCUCGAUUUUCAUCUGAACCGUAGAUUCAGAACCUGACACAUACAACCAAAUAACAAUGUAAUUAGAUAUCACACAACAAAACUUCACACUGUUUAUAUUCUGCAAUGUAAAUUUCUGUUUAUAUUUUUGCUUACAGUUGAUGCUCUGUUGCGGACAAUCACUGAAACCCAUAUGAACAAUACUCUGCAGAUCGUUUUCCCAGAAAGCUGGCGCCUAAGAAAACACACAAAAGUAAGCUUUUCAGAGGAAGCAAUACAGUGAGACUGUAUACAAUAUAAGCGGACAUUAAAGUACCUCAGCUUGAACAAAUCCUUCACUAAGAAUGUUCUUGCCAACAGCUAAAUACUCUGAAGGAAAUCUUGACUCUGAACAAGAUAAUGAUUCUCCCAGCUGCAACAUCUAAGACAUACAUAAUCUACUCGUCAGAUACAAUUACAGAACAUUCUCCCAGUCUUUGUUAUGAAUGAAUCAACAUAAAGCAGAAGAAUACCUCUGCAGAUAACAUAGCAUUAGCAGCAUUGAACUCCGUUCUUGGAUUUAUAGUUGCUAACUUCAUAGACAAGAACUGGAGAAGUAAACAAGAGAUUCAGAUUCAGUUAUAAUAAACACACAGCUCCAUGUUUAAGAAACAUAUAAAGCGACAGUAUACCUGGACUUGUCUUUGCAAUGACUGCACAUAAUUGAUAAUCUCAUCAAGCAUGACAGCUUUUCCAGUAAUCCGGUUGCAACCAGGGACCAAAUCUUGAAGCAACUUCAUUCUCGCACUNNNNNNNNNNNNNNNNNNNNNNNNNNNNNNNNNNNNNNNNNNNNNNNNNNNNNNNNNNNNNNNNNNNNNNNNNNNNNNNNNNNNNNNNNNNNNNNNNNNNNNNNNNNNNNNNNNNNNNNNNNNNNNNNNNGAAGCCCUAGAAAAUCGGCGACCGACUCGAACAUGACACCACACGUUGAACAGAUAGCAUGGUAGGGACACGCGCCCACUAACGAAGCCGCCACCUAACUUCAGCCAGAAAGUCAUCGACGGAGCUCCAACCGGCUGUUCCACCGGAAACACACCGGAAACAGGAACCCGAAGUUAGAGAUCUAUCGAAGACUAUGGAUAAUUGCUUUCCACCACCGACAUGGUCUACGCCGGAGGAUCAAAGAGAUACACCGGAAGCCAAGAGGCUGAGGAAGCCCGCUAAAGACAGUAGAACACAGUCGAUAACCAUACAACUUGGCUCUUCGCUUUAUAGACGAUUCAUUUGCAUGCGUUCCAAAACAGGAAACAGAGAUGAAUCGAAGAAGCUUGAAGGAAAGAUCAGACGAAAGCCAGAAUAAACCAGAGAGAAGCCGCACGACGCCACCGGAGAAGACACCGUCAUCAACGUCGCCGGAACCAGAAGCCAAUGAAUCAUUUAGAAGAAAGUGAUUCAUUGGAGCCAAAAGCCGACGGUUUCGUCAGAGAAGAACGACCACCGUCGAACCCAAAAGCCGGCCAGUCGAUGUUGAAGAAACCAUCGCUGCCGGAACCGACUCCUAUAGGAGCCAACACGCCGGAAACCACCGGCGAUCUAUAUCCUCUCUCUCUGAAAGAUUUUUUAGAGAGAAGAGAGAGAGUUUUUUAUGAUUGUGUUUUUUCCAAUGUGUGAUUUUCAUUCACUCCUCGUUAGCCUUUUAUGAAAAUAUUGUAAUACUGUGAAAUUAUAUCUAAAACUCGUGACACCGGUUUAUAGGUUAGAUGUAUUUUAUCUUAUCCAGCGACAUAAACAGGAUAUCUUGACAUGAUGAGAUAAGAAAAUGUACUGGUCCUUGUAAAUUU
This 11514-nucleotide long non-coding RNA is filed under the name Brassica napus (rape). RNAcentral's name for it is "long non-coding RNA (BNAP_LNC001887)". The record is from RNAcentral. Lineage: Eukaryota; Viridiplantae; Streptophyta; Magnoliopsida; Brassicales; Brassicaceae.